CUGUAAUUACAACUAGGCACUUGUAUUAUUCCAACUACAUAGGCCCUUUGUGCAUGCACAGAAGUGAAACAGAUUUCCAAGCUGAAUUUUGUUUUUUUUUAAAUGAUACUCUGAGAUUUCAUUAAUUUUGCUUGUGUUGUGCAAAGUUUAUAAACAGGCACAAUAGAAAGAAGCUUAAUGUGAUGAGAAAUAUAUCGUAGACUAUGGGGAUUAAGUCUGAGGAGAUUAUAGGGCCAGCUAUUCUGUUCCCAAAAUAAAAACUCAGUGCCAUGGGUGUUUGUAUAGACUCAUCAUGUUGUUCCAAUUAAACCUCAAUUGCUGUUCCCUCUGGCUGCUCUUGCUAUCCAUGGUUCUGGUCAGCACAGGUGUUUGGCAGUAAAAGAUGUCAAUGAAUUGAAAUUGUUGCUAAUAUUCAAAUUACCUGUUUUCAUUUCAGCUUCUGACAACCCCCAGGAACAAAAUGAAUGCCUGCUUGCCAGCUGGAGGGCGAGCAUCCAAAAAGGAAAAAGUGCUCCUUUUCAGCUCCUACAAGGGUAUUGUGAUCAACAGAAGUAAAGAAAUGUAAUCCCAUUGCUUGGUACGGUUUUCUGAAGGAAGCAAGAGCUGUGGAGGCUGUGGAAAUCUGAAUGGUUUUCCAUGAUAUUCUAAUGGGAACUGAACACAUGGCUCUACCCUAAUGACCAGCCUGCUCUCAGUAGGAGUGGGAGAUCAGGUGAGAUCUCACCUUUGGCCAUUACCAAUUGCUUCAAGGAGAACUUCAAUGUUAUAAAGCAAUGACUGCAGCCAAGAUGAUGAGGCUGUUGAUGUCAACCGAGCAGGUAACAGCCCAGCCUGGAUUAAAUAUGAAUCACCCAGAGAGAUCAGAGCAGACAAAACAAGUGGAUCCUCCCCUGUGUGCUACCAUGGGUUCUGCUGCAUUGCAAAGCUGCUAAAUCAUUUAACAUCAUGCAGAACUCAUCCAUCCCACUGCAUCAAUCCAUUUUCUGUUGGCAAAGGUGAAAUUGCAGAUCUACCAGCCAGGGAUGCCAAUGUCUUGUGGGGUUCCCAGGUCCUGUUUCAGAACUGAGUGGUUCUGCCCUGCAUUUUGCUAUGAGAUGGAUUCAUCUCAGAGAUGGAUGUGAAAAGUUGAGGUAGCCAGCUCAUAGUGAAGGAGUCAAAGUCCAGCUCACCACAGUCCCAUUGUGGUCAGCAGUGAUGUGCACAGAGGAACCCCAGUGUACCCUUCCAGCUUCCAAUAGAGUUAAGAAAAAGAUCCCAGUAGCAUUUCAGAGUGAAAGGGAGAAGCACCAGCCUCUGGGCAUCAAUUGGAAAAGAGUGAGGAUGAAAGAUGCAUGACCCGGAGGAGAAGGAUAAAAUGUGUUCCUUUGGAUACAAAAUUGAUUGAAAACCUACUGCUGUGAAUAAAACAGAGCUGUUCUUCUCAUAUGACAGACAGCUCCUGUUGUUUGGAGCCUGAGCUUGUGUUUCGCUGCAGCAGACGUGGCUGGAAGCACCAGGAUGGUACCAAACCUGGGACAUCUUGGCUCAGCAACCAGAUGAGCUUUUGGAGAUGUGCAUGGCAGAUCUCCCUUGGAGAGCACUCCUGGAGGUGAGGGACUGGGUGUGCAGGAUCUCCCAUCAGGCCAGAGGCCAUAAAGAUUUCCAUUUGAGACAGCUCUCAUCCUGAUAGAAUGGCCAACAACCCUCACCUCACGGUACCCCAAUUUGCCAUAGUCUUCUAACACUUUACCUCACUGCUUUUGUUCUGCUGCUGCCCCGUAUCCAAGACACGUUGCUGUUCCUAUGUGCCAGCUGAAACAGCUCUUUGAUGCUGGUGUUUGGUUUGUUUAGGAUGCUCCCAGCUGACCCUGCAAUCUGGACUGGGGGAGCUGCUGCCUACACCCUCUGUCUCUGCUGGGAAGGCCAAACGGGGAAUUUUCUCAUACCCUGAUGAAAUCUCAUCUGCAACCCCCAGGCCAGAGCUAAUUGUGUAAAAGAGAACAAUAUUUAGGACAGAGCUACAGCUAGUUUCUUAAUCUCUCAGAGAAGGAGAUUUGCCCAAUUUGAGCUAUUCUCUCUAACUACUACUUCUGCCCUGAUUAUAGAAAUGGAGUGGGUGGUAAGACUCACCAUCCACAGGCAGCAGAGUUGAGAAAUCUGCGGAAAGAUGGAAAAAUAAUAAUCCAACAGACUAGACAAGCUCCAAACACAGCAUUGCCUGUCCUCCUGUAUGCACACUGCCUGUGCAGGGCCAGAGCCAGACUUGCCCACACAGAGCAAGAGAGAGUCAGGGGAGAAAUUACAGCCUCACUGGAGCAAAAAGGGACUUUUGUGUGAAAUUCUGUGUGGUCAGGGUUUUAUCAGGAGUCUAAAAGGAGUCUCAGCAGCAGAACUUGCAGUGCUGCUGAAUUAACGUGUGGCAUAUUCACAUGCAUACACUGCUGAGGUCAGAUCCCAUCAGGAGGGAUGUGGUAAAAAUUGCUGACGGAGGUUUCUGAAGAGGGAGUGCCUGGUUUUACAGCUGGGAAAGAGGAGUGAGAAGAAUUCAGGAACACUGGCUUGGGGAGAUGAUUUCUGGCCUUGAUCACCCAAUUUAUUUUGUUUUAUUUUGUUUAUAAUUUCUUUACGUUCGGUAUCAUUCCUCAUGCUUUUGUUACAGUGCUCAAGAAGAGCUCCACUGAGGGGAAACUCCUGUGGACAUCCACAGGUGGUUAAUUUUGAUUUGAUAAUACUUAAUGUCUUUGUUUAUGUCCUGAAAGAAAAUACUGAAUUGCUGUAUGUGGAGCUUGCAUAGGGCACAGAAGCUCCAUAGAGUCAUAACAGCAAGGAGGACGCAGAAAUGCUGCACAUCCCAAUGAAUUGCCAGGUAGGCUACUCAUAACUUAAUAGCUUUGCAAAUACUUGCAUAGACCAAAGUUCACUUGAAUGCUGUUAAAGGCAAUGUGGGAGGAAAACCCACAACUUAAUGUGAGUCUUUCAUCAUCCAUAUGGAGAGGUCAGAGGUUACAGUGAAAUAAGGUAUAGAAACAACAUUUUAGACACACUGAAUGAGAACUUCUUGAAGCAAAUGCUCAGAGACCCCAUCAGAAAAGAACAGAUUCUUUAUUUAAUCCUCAGAAUUGAAAAGAUGUUGUUCCAGAUGUUCGCUUACAGAAGAGUAACUCUGUAAUGAUGUUCAUUAUACACUUGUAUUUGUGCAGCUUUGUGGAAGUGAGAAAGUCACAGGUGAGAAAUCCAUUUAAUAAAGACUCCCUUUAAGAGGGCACGAAGAGAUGACAAAAAUGAGAAAUCUUGCUAAAAAUAAAGGUAAGGGAGCAGCAGAAAGGGUGAGAUAUCUUUGGGUGCCAUAAACCCAUUUAGAGAUACAGUAUGAGAAGCAUGUAGCAAGGGCAUACCAUCCACUGAAAUAGACAUAGCAGCCCUAAAAUAGGGAAUGCCAGCAGAACAACAGAGUAAAGGGAUCUGUUUCAGUCAAACAGAAAUUGUUUAAAAAGCAUAAGUCAUUUUUAAAAACAGGAUGAACAUGGGCAGUGUAGCUCUUUUAACUUAAAUACGAAGCGAUAAGUUUGCAAGUUGGAUUAUCUUCUAAGAAACUACAUGCUGGAGAAAUAAAGCUUGAAAUACAAUCUCUUUUUUUCCAAUACAUCAGAAGGAGGCCUGCUAGAAAACUGCGAGAUGAUGGAGGUUUAAAAGUACAGGAUCUGAGAAGAGAGGAAAAAUGAUUUCUUUGCUUAUUAUUGAGAGCUCAGGGAAGUCUUCCUUUACAGAGGGUGUCUGACCAGCCAUCAGAACUUAAGGAACAGGCUCUUAAAGAAAUGGUACAACAAACAGUAGGAAAUGAGCAGGAACAGAUGGCGCUCACCCAAGAGAUUUAAAGGAAUUCAAUAUGAAAUUGCUGAUCUACUUGUUGUGUUGUGCAAAGCAUCGCUUAAAUCAAUCCCAGUGUUACAGCAAUGUAAGGCAACAAAUGAGGAACAAGCUUUUAAAGGAAGCUCUGGAGCAUCUGGAGGAAUACAGACAUGAUCAUGGACUGGAAAAACCAGUCAAAAAGAGAAGUGAAAUAGAUAUGAAGUAUAGUCUCUCUCUAAAAAUAUGAGAGUUCUUUGAAGGAGGUGAUAGGUACGUAGUCAAUAAACCCAACUGAUGCAUUUGUAUUUCCAAAAAACUUUCAGUGAGGUCCCUCUAGUAACAACCCUUUAGGAAACAAAGCUGCCCUGAGGAAGUGGGAGGCAUCUUCAUAGUUAGUCAGUGGUUGAGACAGAGGUAAAAGUAAAUGAUGAGUUCUUACAAUGAAGAUAAAACACUAGUAGGAUUUUGGGGCUUUGCUUCCUACACCUUUCUACUUUUUCAAUUGAGAAUCUUUUACUUUUUCAUCAGCGCUGGUUGCCAAGCUCACAAAAUUUGCUGAGGAGCAACAAGAACGAAGCCUUUACAACAGCCAAAUCUGAAUGUGCCCAUGAAAGCUGAGGGAAGAGCUCAGAGUUCUGAAUGAUUCAGUGGUAGAAUAGAAGAGGAGGUUCAUGGUCAAUAAACGCUGAGUUAUAAACAGAGAUGAAAACAGCCCUGACUAUACACGCACAGUCACAGGGUGUGAAUGAAAUAGAUCUCGUAUUGUAGAAAGUACCAUGGAAAUGCCUGCUCAUGCCCUCAGCAUUUCCAAAGCCAGCAUACAGGCAAUUCCUGCCAUAGACUCCUUGCUGGGAGCUGACUACAAGGGUGUGGAUGUCACCCUAUGUUCACAAAUUCUCUAGACUGUGUUUUACUGAAAGCUGGAGGACGUACUGAGGGAAAUGCUACCUUGAGCUUGCCUGGAGCAAAGCAGAGCAGUCAAGCAUUACAGCUUCUCCUGGUCACCUCUCCACAUACUUAUGAUGCUCUUGUGGUUGAAGUUGGUGUUAUUUCUAUGAAAGUUAUUCUGCAAGGAAGUUGUUUUAGGGCACAGCAAGACGUGACAGAAGUCCUCCGAACACCGUUCUUUUUAUGAAGGGAAAUAACUAGGAGCUGGAUAAACAAUUCAUAUUGUUCCUCAUUAGUUCACACUAAUCAGUAGAGUGUCUCAAAUAAGCAUUUAAUUAAGAAUUAAUGUGGCGGCUGUUAUAAAAUGAAAUAUUAAUUGGAAAAGGAAAAUUUCAGGUUUGUUUAGGUGAAAGAAUUCUGCCCACCGCACGCUUAACUUGAUUACACAAGUGCUUUCCAAUUCCUGAAUUGUUUAAUGUAUACAAGUCAUAAGGACCUGACAUUUAACAAGGGAACACUGGCAAAUUAAUUCCAUUCAGUGCUAAAAACGCAUCUUGACAUUUGGUGGUUGGUGUGUUAACCAGCGCUUCCUCAUCAGAGUUGCAUGUUUCGCUGUGUGCUAAUUAACUGCCCUGUUAUCCCAUUUCAAAAGAAUUAAGAAACAAUUGGGAUUUAAUGUAUUACUAAUAAGUGGACUGAUGUCAGCUGCAAGAUGUGGGCUCUGUUCCAAGAAGAAGGCAGGGCUGUCUGUCCUCUUAGCCGUGCAGAGAGCUGCAUGCAGGGUAUCUCUGCUGCCAACAGGGCACCUCCAUCCAUCUUCUCCUAAGACCCAAAGACUCACAGCACGUCUGCAUCAGGGCCAGAAUGAGGUUAACCAACCAGUUGCAGACAUGGAUGUUUCAAUCAAUGGGCAUCUCUCUGCUGCUCCGGGCUCUUCCAGUUUCAGAGCUGCCCAAGCCGAGUCAUGCUCUGUGAUGAGUUCAGUUAUCUAUAAGCUGGAUGUUUCAGGAACUGAAACUUUAAUGCAUCAGUGCUGACUGAGUGUGCCAAAUGCUUUCAGCCAAGAAGGUAGUAAAAGAGAAUUUUUUGAACAUGUCAAAACACCUCAUUUUCACGUUUUCUAGAUGGAGUGUUUUGGUUUGGAAAUGAGAAAAUGCUUCAAUUUGAUAUUCCCUAUGUGACAGCGUUCAGACUUCUUUCUUUCCAAAUGACAGGUUCUUUGUUGUUUAAAAUUGACCAACAUUUUCCCUGUUAGUCAAACCUUUUAUUUUAAGGACUCUGGAAAAAAAAUACAAAAUAAAAGGCAAAAGAUUCUCUUUUUGAUGGAAUGAAACUGUUUGGGUGAGCCCAAAACAACAUCUCAGCAUCUUUUUUUUUCCUUUGCAACCUCCUGUUUUGUUUGAUUAGAAACUGUUUCCUUUCCCUGCCCUUCUUUCUAACAGCACUUGAGAAAUGUCAUCUCAUUAUCAGGAGGCAGAUGGAAAAAUACUCACGCCCUCAGGUCUUUCGGAAAAGUGGUUCAGUACGACCACUUAUAGUAAGUCAUUCUGGAGGGCACCGAAGAAAUCCAGCUCUCCAGUCCUUGAGCUGGUGUGCCAAUGGCUUUGUACAAGGGUCAGACUGCAACACCUGCUAUGUACUGUUACUAAUCUGGGACAGAGGAGCACCUGGCUCCAGGUAAGUAGUGCUUUGGGUAGUGUUGCGUGUGCCCCCAGAAACACUUUUUCUUCCUAGGCUAUCCAACAGAUCUACGGAGCUGCGGCAUCUUUCUAGACCAGACAAAGAGCCAAACACCUCAAGAAAAAGAUGCAGAGAUCAAAAUGUUGUGGGCACAAUGCAGCAAACUCAGAACAAGAAGCAGUGCAUCAUUACAGUGUCUUGCUGAACUCAAACUGGAGCAUCCCACCCAACCAAUUCAAACUUGCGUUGAUAUCUUAAAGUCCAGUUCAGUUACAAGCCUCUGCUCAUUUGAAGCUGGCUUGAGCAUCUCCAUCUGACCAGGAUUUAGGUGCUUAUUUUCCCCACUGCCUGUGUUAUUUGUGAACUUGUCAUCACCAGAUGCCACAAGCUGACAGGUGAGUUCACAGCACAUCAGCACCUACCAACUCUUCAGGCUGCAUAGUGCAAGCCCAGGGCAUGUUAUGUGUCCAAAAUUCAGUAUGUUGCCACCAAAAGUAGAAGAAUGAUAGGUGAGAGCUAAAAAUGGUUGUUUAUCACCCAAAAGGAAGAGCUGGCAGAAAGAUGCAAACUACUGUAUACUAAUCACCUACACAAACACAUUUAUCUCACAGAAAAUGUAUUGCUUUCAUUGAAAGAACAUUGGAAUCUCAGUGGGUUCUUGCAGAGCAGCUUUGCAUGUUGGAGCUGAAACUGUGGAGCUAUGAAUGAUUUUGGGGUUCAUAACCUACCUCCCCUGGGCUAAUUACUCCCCUGCACACAUCUUCUCAGAUUUACUGUGGUUUAUCUUCUGUUUUCUGUAUCUUUUCCAGUUCUUCUGCCCAACCGUCACCUUUUCCUCAAAAUUGGAGUGACAUGCAUGGCUGUCUCUGUGCUUGCACAUGAAUCUAACUCAACUGUGAAUGCCUUUUAUGCUUUCAUACAGUUGCAGUACCUGAUCUCCCAUUCUUCCUGAUAUACCAUAGCUGUCCCCACUGUUCACUCCUUCUUGGCUACAACGUGGUUGAAUGAAAGGGAAAAGUCUCUAAUGUGCUUUCCAGCUGAUUGCUUUGAAGAGUUUAAAGUAGUGGAAGCUGGCUGUGAAGUUGUGAACUCGAUGGUUACGUGCUGCACAUCCUGGCUCACACAUGCUCAGGGAUCUACAGCAUAUUCCUUCUGGUUCAUCAGAAAGCACAGGGAGGUGUGCAGGCCAAAGAUUAAGUGAAUUCCAGUGCUCAAGAUUUGAUUUCAGUGAAACAAUAUCUUGCUUCUCUUUGCACAGAUGCCAACUGCAGUAAAUGUGGCUUAGCUGACAGUGGAGGCUUUGUAGGACUGAGAACCCAGCAGCCAUGUGACUCCUAGCCAGGGGCAACCUGGCUAGGUUGCACUGGCACAUCCUCUGCCUGUAAGUCCCUGAGUUAAGUUUGGAGGUAGGAUUCAUCUACUGGCUUCCAUUGGAGCUCAGCAGCCAGUUUCUCCAGGCAUGAUGACAUCUCGUCAGAGUGGUGCAGAUAGGAGUAAAGCAGGUCUGCACACAGUUUGGCUCACACAGCCAUGAUGUUCAACAGGACACACUCUGCCUGUAGUCUUUCACUGGCCAUUGCCCCCAAAGCAAGGGUCUGUCCUUCUGGCAGGGCUAGGAGGCCUAAGUCUGUUCCAGGGAUGUUGUGUAUGACAUUACUGUGCCAAAAGAUUAUUCAAAAAGGUCCUUGUUGAAUGAUUCUUUGAAAGGACUGGAGAUGGGGGAGAUCAUAGAAUCAUUAAGGUUAGAAAAGACCCCUAAGGUCAUCUAGUCCUACUGUGGUGCUGUCCAACAAGAAAUCACAGCACUGUACAGUAUCUUGAGUUGGAAGGAACACACAGGAACCAUAUGAGACUACCCAAAAUUUAUAACAUAUGUCUGAGAGUUGAAAUGCUUCAGAUCUUGCUGUUUCCCAUUUAGGAAGAAGCUCAAAACACAGGGGAGCUGCAGCAUGUCCUCCACUUGUCCCCUGGCAUGGCUAUGACUAUGGCAACCCAGCAUGGCACAGGGAUCAGCCUCCAAAAGAUAUCACAGGGAUGCGCAGGUGCUGGAAAAGCUGUGUUUCCUAAAGAAGAAGAAGAGUUCCAAACAGGACCUCACCUACAGUGAGAGUUGAUUUUGAAAGAGAAGCGUUCACUCAAGCAACUGGCAAAAAUCCCUAUACUUAUACCACAGCAAAAAAACCCCUCUCUUCUCUCUGUCACUUGCCUCUGCAAUGCUGGUACUUUAGGAACAGUUUGCUCAUCCUUUUUGCCUUAGCCUGCCAACAGCAUGAGGAAAGUCAGACAACCACCUUGUCACCUCCCACGUAAUUAUCUUCUACACGAGAGAAGAGCCAAUCGCUUGCUCCCAUCUUCACCUUUGUGAUGCUCCCUCUGAGCACAGAGCCUGGAUUGAUGGAUUUUCAUUUUAUGUUCAUGAAAACACCUUCUCCAGAGGAAUGGCUGUACCCAUAGGUAAAAACUAUUCGAGGGCAAAAGCUGUGCAAACAAUCUCACUUGUACAAGGAAGAAGCACACCAAAGAUCAGCUACUGUCCCACAUCUCAAUGUGGGAAAUGUCAGCAUAUUCAGCUGUGGUAAAUAUGCAUGAUGGCAGUAAAGAAUGUGCAAGAAAAUACUAUUCCAAGCCAAUAAAAAGAUACGGAGGCUACAAUAAACUUCUAAUUUUUGUAACUUUGAACAUAUCUGUACCAGUUGGCAUCAUGGUCACGCUGAAGUAAAUCUUAUGCAACACGGAGCAUUGCUUACAAACACCAUUAACAGUUCUCACCAAAAAUCCUCACAAAACUUUGGCAGAAAGCAUUAAGAAACAGAUUAUGAUUGCCCUCAUCAUCUCUUAUUUCAGAUAGGAAAGUGGCUACACUGAGUCUUAACAAGGAGAAGUGUAUUUGAACUCUGGUGCAACUAAGUAUGCCACUUUCUCUGCAGCUUUUUCAUAGUCAGUAAUUGGAGUGGGUCAAAUUAUUUGUGAAGAACAACAUGUUGGUUUAUUUGUACCUGCCUCCCCGUUACUGAAUAACUCUUAAGGAGACAGCAAAGAUGUCUGAAGGGUUUAUAGCGAUCUUCACCCACCUGAGAGAGCACGUCUGUACUUGUCUAAAGAUGGAACCAGAGGACAUCGGAGGUGGCAGAGUGGAGAUAAGGAUACUGUAAUAGCAUGUUGUCUGCGCCAUGCUUAGGUCCAUGGAAACACAGGAAGAGAGGACAGAUGAAGGGCAGGAGAAAACACCAUCCAUCAUUGUUUUUAUUUUGCCUAUUGUUAUUUACCUUAGUACAUAGUGGAUUCCCAUAGUUUCAUUUCUUCUCUGCUUGCUUCUCACCCAGAACAGUUUGCUGUUUGACAUGACAGUCAUCUAAGGAAAUGGGUUUCCUUUUAUUCACAGCCACAGAUUUAAACAAUUGUUCAGAAUUAACAUGACUCAUUCUUUCUCAUUUGUGUCUUGCUUUUGUUCACCAAAGGCUCUCAGUCUGCCCAUCUUCUGUCCCUGUUAAUUCCCUUCAAAUCCUAUCGAUAUCCUUCUUGGGUAUUAAGAGAGAUCUGCUGCUGCAUGCAUGAACCUGAACUCCUCAUCCUGCUGCAGGGGGAACAUGAAUGAUGCAGGAUUUCCCAUCCCCUAACCCAUCGCCAGCAAAAAGGUGCAGUUUGACCCUGGCUGUCCAUACAGUUCCUUCAAGUUGUGCAUGGAAGAGUAGUAUGAAUUUAUAACAAACUGGGAUUUCCUUUUUUUAUCCCUCUGUGAACGACCAGUAGCUGAUUCUUUUAACACGGGUCCCACUGUUCUGCCUCACCCUCCCUGUGCCAUCCUAUCCAGCUGCAACAACCCCUAGCAGAGAAGCAAAGCAUCCUCAGUAUGCCAGAAGUUCAUUAAAGCGAACAUCAAUUUUGUAAAGGCCUUUGUGGUCAUGUCUUACAAGCUCACGGUUCAGGUGCCUUCGAAUUCAAAUGCAUCACCUUCAUCUGCUGCCAUUUAACAUCAUCUUUAGCUGCUAUGGGGUAGAGAAGCUCUAUGCUGUGUGGCAGCCUCUUCCAUCAUCUCUCACGGCAGCUAUUUAAUACUUCUGCUUGUUUUACUCCAUCAUUGCAGAUUUCAUCACUGCUAUCUGCUAAAUGCUUUGGUGGACUGCCAGACCUACUUUUGGUCUGGGUACAUUUUUUAAUCUUUCUUGGGUGUUGGUUUUUUUUUUUUGGUGUUUCUUUUUGUUGUUGUUGUUGUUGUUAGUAGCUACUGCUGUAUUAGAACUAUCUUUAGCUUUCCUUAGCUAUGGCAAAGUCCCAGUAUUUAUUCAUCAUUGUUAACCUCAGCUCUAUUCUUUCUAUUUGAUAGCGGAGCAUUAGUAAUGGCAGUAAUAUCACUUAUCAGCAUUACGUUUUGCUUUUCAUCCCCCAGCUUUUCUCACGGGUUUUGCAGUGUUCAGGCUGGUACACAGGGCUUUAUCCCAUGACUCACAGUGCACAUUAAAUGAGGGGUGAUGGCUGAAGUCCUCAAUUUUUCUGACUUUCAAAGGUCAGAGAGGAUUUUGAGAUAACUCUGAACUUUACUUAUGCUGUUCUGAGUGACCAAAGGCUUCUCUGAGGACUUAAUUCUGCCUUAGACAAUGUUUUAUUUGGAGAUAUCAUUUUCCUUUGGUGUUUUCUUUUCCUAAGUGACCUAAAAUUGGUAAGACUAUUCUUUUCUUUGCUCCUGGUAGCAUUUUACACUGUUGAACAGUCUUGGAGAAACAUAAACAAACAAACAAAACCCUGUUUAAAUCAUGAAGGUAAACCUUAUUAACCUAUAUAGGGAGGAACCACUCACUGCAGGGAUAAGGCAACUGCCCUAGUUUAGGUGCUACUAUCAGAGCAAAAGUUAAACCUGCUGCAAACCACAGAGGAUUUCACAUGUGCAUGGGUGGUGGUAAGGAGGACAGAGGUGGGGUGGGAUGAAAGGAAGGACUGGCUGCUGGGCGGGUGCUGAAGGAAUCAUAAAGUCAUUAUGGUUGGAAAAGACCACUAAGAUUGACAAGCUCAACCUCAGCCCACCCCUACCAUGUGUAAUGACCGUGUCCCUCAGGGCCACAUCACCUCAUUCUCUAAACACCCUCAGGGACAGUGACUCUACCACCUCCCUGGGCAGCCUGUGCCAGUGCCACAAGGAAGGGCUGCCUCAGCCCCCAGCCCUGAGCCUGUGGUACCCAGAGAGAGCAUCCAUGUGCACGUGAGUCCUUCCCUCUGCCCCUGCAGGGCUCCAUAUCUCCAAGAAGAUGCCUGCAGAAGGGAAGCCCCUCUCCUGCUAUCUGCAUGCAGAGCGUUUCCAGGAUCUGGGCCAGAGCUUGUAGUUUCCAUAGCAAGCUUAUUUGAAUCACAGCAUUCAUGAGGAAAGAUAAAAUUGUUUCCAACAGCAGCUACAUCGAUCUUAUGUGCCCCCAAAUGUCACACACACUGUGCCUGCUUACCAUCAAAAUUCCCAUCCAAUGCCUUUUUCAGAGAAGGAUAUCACCCAGUACCUUUCAAAUGGAUACACUCAACCAAGUGCAUGGUCCUAAUCUUUUUUUAUUUUCCAGGCUUUUUUUUCCCCCUUCCUAUGGUGAGUUUGUCAAACAACCUCACACACAGAGAUUUUAUGAUGGAAUUGUACCACGAAGCCUCUUCGAUACAUAUUCAUAGUGGAUUCUUGGCUUAUCUCUGAGCAACAUUCACACAUGCUGCUCGCUCGAGCUGUUGUUUUUUAAAGUGCUUAACAUAUAAAAGUUUAAUCACAAAGUUGCUUCAUGUUUGUUUCUAGCAAAAUGCAUUAUUAUUGCUCAACAAAGUUCACUAAAGGUUUUUCUGUAUACCGUGCUGAUAUGCACUGAGUUUAGACUAAAUGGACUGAAAUGCAGCACUUCUGCUUACCAUGGUUUUCCAAGGUCAUAUUUUAGGUUAAAAGCUACUGAUAGGACAAUAACAUUGCAUGAACCAGGGGAAUGGUGCCCAAAUCCGGGCAUCGUGCUAGAGAUGCGGCCUUCUCAAUAAUAACAACCAGAAUAUGAGGCUCAGUAUGAAUGGACCAUAAGUCCAAAGAACAGAUUGACCAAGAAAUAAGCUCUUGAGAAGCAAAGAAGGGAAAAAAUAACAGCAAAAAUAUGUGUCUUCCUGAUGGGCAUUUUCUAAUUUGAGCCUUCCUUGUGUCCAUGCAGGCUGUGACAGCAAAUCGCUGCUCAGUACGCUGGGCGGAUGGGAAUAUUUGCCUUCACAGUUAUUCAUCAGCGCCCUUCCUCCAAGGCACCAGGCAGCCUCUUACAUAUUCAGACCUCUUUUUGUAUUUCCAGGGAAAUACAGCAGCCUGGUGGCUGUUGCUAGAACUGCUGCGGUAGCCCGAGGGCAGAUGUGAGCAGCAGGAGGAGGCUACAGGAGGCAGGAGGGGAUGGAGCAGGUGGAUGCAAGCGCAGCACUGUGAGGGAUGCAGCAGCAGCAGGCAAGAGAUGUAUCCUAGGGAUGCUUCAUGUGGGGAGGGGAUUUAUAGCUGCAUUACACGAAAGCAAGAUUAUAGAGGGUGUCUUGUCCUGAGAAGGGCUCCCAGUGCAUCCUCUGGAGAUGCCCAAAAUAUCUUUGCACCUUCCAAAGGAGAGGCUGUUGCUGCAGAUUGCUGACACAGGGAAACAUGAUUUCACUUCAUUGUAGGCAGCGGGGAUGUGAUUAGAAGGAGGCAAACUCAGUCAGGCCACCGAAAAAAACAAAGGCAGGAGAGAAUUAUAUAUGCUGCAGUGGUUGGGAUACUGUGGUCCAGAAUGGAAGCACCCCACUUCAAGUCAAUAAAAAUAGAGGGGAAAGAAACUAUUGCAACAGCUCUAAGACUUCCCCAUACCUCUGCUUGAAGCAGUGUUGAGAUAGAGAGACUCUAAAGUGCUUCAGAUGGGUGGGGAGCUACCAAUGAACAACUGAGUUGUCUUAGCCUUAACAAAAGGUGUGACAGUCCUCCCAUGACAUCUGGACAUCCCUUCCAGAGCAGACUCCUAAGGUGAUGCAAUCCCAUUCAAAUUGCAAAAGAUAAGAAGUUUUGUGUUGGGAAAAAUGGUAUUUAGGAGACAAAAUAGCUUUGGAAGUGUGAUGCACAGCUCAUCACUCCUCCCAACCCUGGUAUUAAUACCUUACAUCAGGGGCUGCCCCUCCACUGCCCCAGUAGGGGCAUUCAUGCUGCCUGAAUAAAGAAGGUUGGGAAGGUGUGGGGAAAUGUUCCCAGCUGCAUUUGCUUUGCAUAGCACUCUGGUAGAGAAGAGCAACAGAUACCUGCAGAGUAACCUCCCUUUUAGUUCUCUACCAUGGUGCUCUAGCCCCGUGUGCUGCCAGAAACACAUCAUAAUCCAAUGGGUGCUCUUGUUCUGCUUUCUUCUCCUCUUUUCUCUCCUCUGUGAAUGUGUUGGAAGUGUCUCUGCCCCAUCUCUACCAGGGAAUGGGCAUUCUGUUCCCCAGGGCCCCCUCUGUGUGCAGCAGACAGCAUGUGGCACCCAGAUCCUCCUUGCUGGUUUCUCAGCUAUUGCCCUUGAGAUGAAGAUGACAUGGAGAUAUAUCUUAAAAAUAAAAAGAGAGACAGAGGAAAAAAAAAAAAAAAGACAAAAUAAACCUGUUGUAUUACAAACAUGCUCUGAGAUCUUGAGAAAGAGGGUAGAAGACCAAGUUUUAAUAAUAAAGCAAGAGAUAUAAAUAAUUAAGAAGCAAUCUAUCUGUUUCCUGACAUCCUGUCGAAUGUUGCUACGUUGCUGUCUGCUGCAGGAGUCCAGCAUGGGACGCCAGUGUUUUCAGCUGCCUACCCCAGCAUCUCAGCCACAGCACAGCUUUAAUGAAAACGCCCUUUCAAAAGGGAAUGUGCAAAUUGAACCAAGUUUCUGAGAGGAGCCAGGUCAAAGGCACUGCUCCACAGCGUGAGGCGCCUUGCAUAAUUCCUGUCAAGUCAUUGCCCUCCUCCUCCCCAUCUGCUUCCCCACUCCCUCUGCCCCUGUCCUCUGCACACCCCGUCAGCAGAGUCCCCAGCACACCCCAGCUUUCCUCCCCUGGGGCUUCUAUAUGCAACGCUCAUUUGAUUACUAUGUAUGUGACCUCUCAUGUCCUCAAGCUAUUCGUGUGCUUUGGCUGAAGGGGAGGCUCAGGAGGGAGUUUCUGCCAGACAUCACUGACCUUUCCUGUGGCCCGAUCUUUAAGACAUUAAAAAAUCAAAGUGUUCUUUGCUAAUGAGCUGAUCCUGGGUUGGGUUGGAAGACUAAAUAAGUCAUCUCUACUCCUCUCUAACCCUCCCUCAACCCUCAACCAAUGGUGGACCGGAACUGUGCUGAGUUGCUGAGUAUUAGCACGUUGUCACAAAGCAAGGGACACAAAGCAAGACCAGGAUCUCCAUUACCAUCACCCGGAUCACUACCAGAAGGGCCUUUUUUCCCUCUCCUGUAGUAGUUAAUGCCUCUCAGCUCUCCCAAAACAGAAUGGCUGGGAUGUCAAGACACCUUGGCAUUAUUGUGAGGCAUAGGAGAAUGGGGGCUGGCCACGGGGACUUGUCUUGUGGAAGGAUGAAAAUGCCUCAUCUUCCUCAUGACCCUUCUUGAGGGUUUUACAUUGGUGUAAACAACGUCAGCUCUUUCAGAAGUGAAGGUAAACAGCAGAGGCCUUUGAGAAUGCUGAAAGUCAUUUAUGAAGCAAGAUGAGUCACUCUGUGUAGUUUGGGAUGUUGUAGCGCCACGUUCCCGUAAAUAUCCCCACCUAAUACUGUGGGCAUCUGAUGUCCUUUGUAGACCUGCAGCAAAUAAUAGCCAUUCACAACAAAUCCCAAAAGAUCUUCCAAAUUGAGAAAUCAAGUAACUUGCUCCCCAGACAUAGCAACUGCCAAGCAGGAGCUCUGUAAUUUCUGCAUCAUGAUGCCAGUGUCAAGGAGAUCAAGGACUGUGAUGGCAAAAAGGAUCCAAAUGUAAUACAGACCAUGGGGCUCUGAUGGCAAACACAGCCCUACCACAUAUUCCCCAGCUCUCCUCUUUGUAGGAUGCUGCUUUUCAGCCUCCUGUAAAAAUGUAGUUUUUUACAGGAUGGUGUUGUACGGAAUAAAAGGGCAAUUCUUCUUAUAUCUUCUUUGUAUGCCUCAUUUAUGGAUGGUCCUCUGUGAAGCCAGGAGUUGAACACUAUGAUUCCUAUGGGUCCCUUCCAGUUUGGAAGUUUCUUCUGAUGAAAGCACAUAUCACCCAUUUAACCCAACCACCCCAGGAUUUAAGAGGAACAGAUGAAACCCAUUUCAGAUCUGCAGGGGUGUGAGCAUUGCACGGCCUUUCUGGAAACUGCCCCUCAGCCCAUCAAUCCAAUCACUACAGCCCCUGUACUCCCCAUGAUGACACUGAGCAACACUGUGACCAGAGAACAUGGAGAGGGGGAAGCUAAAGCACUUCUUACAGUGCAGAAAGAUGCUGCAUUUGGAUGUCUCUUCCAGCUGCUGAGAGCCAAGUAUCCAAGUAUACCUCCUUCCUCCUCCUUGCUGUCAACACCUAGGAAGUGCCUUGAUUUAAGUCAUUACUGGAAAGCUUGUUUUAUCUUUGACACGUUCUUCCAAGUUGAUAGCUGUGAAAGGGAAAUUCAAACUGUAACUGUUCGGCAAUGGUAAUGUGCGACCAAUGAAUAAUCUGAGUGGAGAGUGAGUCAAUACGGGUGCAGAACAGGUUAAGGUGGGAACGGAAA
Molecule: non-coding RNA, 16059 nt
Organism: Coturnix japonica (Japanese quail)
Lineage: Eukaryota; Metazoa; Chordata; Aves; Galliformes; Phasianidae
Source: RefSeq, a predicted model, not a curated record